RNAcentral lists this transfer RNA (69 nucleotides) under Rattus norvegicus (Norway rat). It matches the Rfam family "tRNA". From Rfam's summary of the family: Transfer RNA (tRNA) molecules are approximately 80 nucleotides in length. Their secondary structure includes four short double-helical elements and three loops (D, anti-codon, and T loops). The record is from Rfam by way of RNAcentral. Lineage: Eukaryota; Metazoa; Chordata; Mammalia; Rodentia; Muridae.
GGGGAUUUAGCACAGUGGUAGAGCACUUGCCUAGCAAGCACAAGGCCCUGGGUUCAGUCCCCAGCUCCG